AGAGUUUGAUCCUGGCUCAGAUUGAACGCUGGCGGCAUGCCUUACACAUGCAAGUCGAACGGCAGCACGGGGGCAACCCUGGUGGCGAGUGGCGAACGGGUGAGUAAUACAUCGGAACGUGUCCUGGAGUGGGGGAUAGCCCGGCGAAAGCCGGAUUAAUACCGCAUACGCUCUGAGGAGGAAAGCGGGGGAUCUUAGGACCUCGCGCUCAAGGGGCGGCCGAUGGCGGAUUAGCUAGUUGGUAGGGUAAAGGCCUACCAAGGCGACGAUCCGUAGCUGGUCUGAGAGGACGACCAGCCACACUGGGACUGAGACACGGCCCAGACUCCUACGGGAGGCAGCAGUGGGGAAUUUUGGACAAUGGGGGCAACCCUGAUCCAGCAAUGCCGCGUGUGUGAAGAAGGCCCUCGGGUUGUAAAGCACUUUUGUCCGGAAAGAAAACCUAGGUCCUAAUAUGGCUUGGGGAUGACGGUACCGGAAGAAUAAGCACCGGCUAACUACGUGCCAGCAGCCGCGGUAAUACGUAGGGUGCGAGCGUUAAUCGGAAUUACUGGGCGUAAAGCGUGCGCAGGCGGUUCGCUAAGACCGAUGUGAAAUCCCCGGGCUUAACCUGGGAACUGCAUUGGUGACUGGCGAGCUAGAGUGUGGCAGAGGGGGGUAGAAUUCCACGUAGCAGUGAAAUGCGUAGAGAUGUGGAGGAAUACCGAUGGCGAAGGCAGCCCCCUGGGCUAACACUGACGCUCAUGCACGAAAGCGUGGGGAGCAAACAGGAUUAGAUACCCCCGUAGUCC
This 791-nucleotide ribosomal RNA is filed under the name uncultured bacterium. RNAcentral describes it as "bacterial SSU rRNA". It matches the Rfam family "Bacterial small subunit ribosomal RNA", at positions 8 to 796 of the family's 1533-position model. The record is from RNAcentral.